RNAcentral lists this ribosomal RNA (800 nucleotides) under uncultured bacterium. RNAcentral describes it as "bacterial SSU rRNA". It matches the Rfam family "Bacterial small subunit ribosomal RNA", at positions 8 to 789 of the family's 1533-position model. The record is from RNAcentral.
AGAGUUUGAUCAUGGCUCAGGACGAACGCUGGCGGCGUGCCUAAUACAUGCAAGUCGAGCGGACGAAUCGAAAGCUUGCUUUUGAUUCGUUAGCGGCGGACGGGUGAGUAACACGUGGGCAACCUGCCCUGUAGACGGGGAUAACACCGAGAAAUCGGUGCUAAUACCGGAUAACACGAAAUGUCGCAUGACGUUUCGUUGAAAGACGGCGCAAGCUGUCGCUACAGGAUGGGCCCGCGGCGCAUUAGCUAGUUGGUGAGGUAACGGCUCACCAAGGCGACGAUGCGUAGCCGACCUGAGAGGGUGAUCGGCCACACUGGGACUGAGACACGGCCCAGACUCCUACGGGAGGCAGCAGUAGGGAAUCUUCCGCAAUGGGCGAAAGUCUGACGGAGCAACGCCGCGUGAGCGAAGAAGGCCUUCGGGUCGUAAAGCUCUGUUGUUAGGGAAGAACAAGUAACGCAGUAACUGGCGUUACCGUGACGGUACCUAACGAGAAAGCCACGGCUAACUACGUGCCAGCAGCCGCGGUAAUACGUAGGUGGCAAGCGUUGUCCGGAAUUAUUGGGCGUAAAGCGCGCGCAGGCGGUUCCUUAAGUCUGAUGUGAAAGCCCACGGCUCAACCGUGGAGGGUCAUUGGAAACUGGGGGACUUGAGUGCAGAAGAGGAGAGCGGAAUUCCACGUGUAGCGGUGAAAUGCGUAGAGAUGUGGAGGAACACCAGUGGCGAAGGCGGCUCUCUGGUCUGUAACUGACGCUGAGGCGCGAAAGCGUGGGGAGCAAACAGGAUUAGAUACCCUG